CUACGGGAAGCAGCAGUGGGGAAUAUUGGACAAUGGGCGAAAGCCUGAUCCAGCCAUGCCGCGUGAGUGAUGAAGGCCUUAGGGUUGUAAAGCUCUUUCGCCAGGGACGAUAAUGACGGUACCUGGAUAAGAAGCCCCGGCUAACUUCGUGCCAGCAGCCGCGGUAAUACGAAGGGGGCUAGCGUUGUUCGGAAUCACUGGGCGUAAAGCGCAUGCAGGCGGACUGAUAAGUCAGGGGUGAAAGCCCGAGGCUCAACCUCGGAACUGCCUUUGAUACUGUCAGUCUUGAGUCCGGGAGAGGUGAGUGGAACUCCGAGUGUAGAGGUGAAAUUCGUAGAUAUUCGGAAGAACACCAGUGGCGAAGGCGGCUCACUGGCCCGGUACUGACGCUGAGAUGCGAAAGCGUGGGGAGCAAACAGGAUUAGAUACCCCGGUAGUCC
RNAcentral lists this ribosomal RNA (440 nucleotides) under uncultured bacterium. RNAcentral's name for it is "bacterial SSU rRNA". It matches the Rfam family "Bacterial small subunit ribosomal RNA", at positions 339 to 796 of the family's 1533-position model. The record is from RNAcentral.